Molecule: ribosomal RNA, 467 nt
Filed under: uncultured bacterium
Lineage: Bacteria
Description: partial 16S ribosomal RNA
Rfam family: Bacterial small subunit ribosomal RNA
Source: RNAcentral
GACGAACGCUGGCGGCGUGCUUAACACAUGCAAGUCGAACGGUGAUGCUCCAGCUUGCUGGAGUGGAUCAGUGGCGAACGGGUGAGUAACACGUGAGCAACCUGCCCCAGACUCUGGAAUAAGCGCUGGAAACGGCGUCUAAUACUGGAUACGAAACUGGCCCGCAUGGGCAUGGUUUGGAAAGUUUUUCGGUUUGGGAUGGGCUCGCGGCCUAUCAGCUUGUUGGUGAGGUAAUGGCUCACCAAGGCGACGACGGGUAGCCGGCCUGAGAGGGCGACCGGCCACACUGGGACUGAGACACGGCCCAGACUCCUACGGGAGGCAGCAGGGGGGAAUAUUGCACAAUGGGCGAAAGCCUGAUGCAGCGACGCCGCGUGAGGGAGGACGGCCUUCGGGUUGUAAACCUCUUUCAGCAGGGAAGAAGCGAAAGGGACGGUACCUGCAGAAGAAGCACCGGCUAACUACGU